GCCUAGAGAAGUUGGCUGCCCUUGGUGAUUUUUGUGCCAGAGAUACUCGAGAAAAGAUGAGAAUUAUGGUUGCAGGAGGUGAUGGUACAGUUGGUUGGAUACUGGGGAGUCUUGCAUCACUUAACAGACAGGGGAGGGAGCCAAUUCCUCCCGUAGGAAUCAUUCCUCUGGGUACAGGCAAUGAUCUGGCAAGGAGUUUUGGUUGGGGAGGCUCAUUUCCUUUUGCUUGGAAAUCGGCUGUCAAAAGAUCCCUUCACAGGGCUAUUACUGGUCCAGUUUGCCGUCUAGAUAGUUGGCAUCUUUUAGUGAUGAUGCCAAGUGGAGAAGUUGUGGAUCCACCCCAUUCUCUAAAACAUACGGAAGAAUAUUCUCUUGAUCAGAGUUUGGAAGUUGAGGGGAUGUUGCCUGAGAAUAUGAAUUGCUAUGAAGGAGUCUUUUAUAAUUA
This 445-nucleotide unclassified non-coding RNA is filed under the name Hevea brasiliensis (rubber tree). The record is from RNAcentral. Lineage: Eukaryota; Viridiplantae; Streptophyta; Magnoliopsida; Malpighiales; Euphorbiaceae.